CUCAGACGAUGCAUGCGGCGGUCUCAUUCUCAGCGGCGGUAAUUUACAAAUUUUGUCAAGUAAAGAAAAUCCAGAACUACAUGAGAAAACACAGAAUUUUGGCUAAUAAUGUGGCCAUCACAGCAUAGCAAACAGGGAGAAAUUUAAAAGAAAACAAAAAUGGAGCGAUCUAGAUAUCAUGCAGGCCCACUGCAUGAUCUUCAGAGACUUGAAGAUGAUGAGAACACUGAAGACACAAGUUGGGAAAAAUAUAAACUAAAAGAACUUGAGAAAGAAAUACAGAACCUGACAAAUUUGAGAGAUAAACUGACAUGGGAACUGGAGGCAGAUCCUGGAAAGUUACUACAGAGAUUAUUAAAUGGAGACAGAGAGCAGAAUGAAAGAGAGUUGGCAUCUCUAGGUGCACAUCAGGAAGCAUGUAAUGCCAUUACUGCUGCUAAGAAGUCUAAAGUUAUGCAUACUGUCAAUCUAUACAGGCUAUCUGGAACCUCUAUACAUCAAGUUAAAAAGAAUGUUGUCCGUUUGAUGUUUGACACCUUCAACAGAGGAAGUUUCUUUGAGACAUACUACCUUGAACUUGAAGGAUCUAAAAAUCUAAAAGUUGGCAGCCAUACUUUACCUCACUUUAUUCCCAUAAAAAGAAUCGCAGACCAACAUCUGAACGUCAGUUUACAGCUGUUUGCACAGACUCUCAUGAAUCUGCUGAAUGCUUUUGUUGCCCGUAGGCAGUUCAUAAGAGACCUGCAGAAUCACUUCUUAGAUCAUUUGGAGGAGGAAAUUAACUGCAGCCAAUCAUGCGAUUUCUGUUAUCUGUCAUUAAUCGACUUCCCUGGUCUAGAAAUACCUCUAAGAUUACAGUUGAUGUUCUCACUUGAUAAGUGCCACCCUGGACAGAUCAAAGUGAAGAAACUAAGCAAAAAUGACAGGGAUCUUACAGAGACUGAAAACCAGAUUUUAUCAAGUAUUACCAAGUCACUAUUUGCUGCUCAAAUGCCUAAAAUUACACCAGUAAACUAGGUGGAGGAGUACAGUAAUGGGUAUUUGUGGAAGCCAUGUGGUGCAGAGAUUAGUUGGCUGUUAAUAGUAAUUCCACACUGUUCACAUGGCUUGUGUCCUUGUACAAACAAUUUUAAAAUUAAAUAUUAAAUUAAAAAUAAAAUAAAAUUAAAUAAAAAGAAAAAAAAAAAUCAUGUGAAUGAUUUGGAAUGAAAUUAGUAUUGAUGAACUACACGCACAACUUUACUCCCCAGAGAAUGAAGAAGCUUGCACAGGAUAUGUUAUUGAUUGUUUAUCCACUGACCAGGGCAAAAGUGCUUUGAGCUUUAAAUGGAUAUAUGCACUAUAUAAAUUCUAUAAAAUAAAUAAAAUAUAAUAUACAGCUGUAAAUAGUUUUGGUUUGUUUGGUUUUUUGUUUUAGUUUGGUUUUUGGUUUUGGCCUUUUCAAAAACCGAUGAUCAGUCACAACCAUUCUUACCAUCUGGCUUACAUUUCAUAGCUUCCAUAAAUAAGUUUCAUAUACAUGGAUAGUUUCAAUUGUUAAGAACAAUAGUACACUAAAUUGUUAUCAGCCUAGGUUGAAUAACUGUAUAUUUCCACUGUUUAAAUUGGAUUGUUUACUACAGUAUUAAUUUCUUUAAUUAAAUGCUAAACAAGCUCUAAUUUGGGUGGUCAACUUAUAGGUAGAUCAUCAAUGUCUAAAUAUUUGUCUAUAUAUUGUAGUUCUCAUUAUAUGUUAAUAUGCUUAGCUAUUAAUUAGCUUCAUUUCUGUAUAUCAAGUAAGGCUGCUCUGUGAAUGAAUAAAUACAUGCAUUAAUUGUUAUUUUUGAUGGUUUAA
RNAcentral lists this unclassified non-coding RNA (1834 nucleotides) under Anneissia japonica. RNAcentral describes it as "centromere protein O-like, transcript variant X1". The record is from RNAcentral. Lineage: Eukaryota; Metazoa; Echinodermata; Crinoidea; Comatulida; Comatulidae.